AUCAUCAUUAUCUUUAUUUAUUAAUAUCGAACAACAACAAUCAAAUAAUCGAUGAAAUACUGCAUUUUUUCUUCAUUUCCGUUUGGACCAUUAUCGGGUGAUAAUCACAUAGUGCAUCUAGAAAAAAAAAUCAUUGCUAAUAAGCAAUGAGUAAGCAUCAUUUCCAUACAGGUAUUUAUUAUAAUCUAUAUGAUGAUGAUGAUGAUUCAGUUGCUGGUUGGAUUAAGUUUAGUCAUAUAUACGGAUACAAUAGACAAAUAGUAGAUUGUAGAUAAACAUUCAAAACAAGACGCCACCAUUAUCAUCAUCAUCAUUACAUUCAUUAUGACACCCGUUUAUAUAUAUUUUGUAGCCCGACCACACACACAACAAACAACCUUUUAACAAAUUUUUGAAUGAAUUCCUCUAUCACUACUAACUGAUCAAUGUUGCCACAAGUGCAUUUUACAUUCUCUUCUCUCUCUCUCUCUCUCUCUCUAUCUAUCUAUCUAUCAUUUUUGUUUGCCUCUCAAUUUCCUAUAUAUCUAUCUUUAUUGGCGGUUAACUUGCUUGGCAAGUUAUCUGCAAUUGUUUUUUUCUUCUUUUUGUUGUUGUUGUUGUCCUCGCUUCACUCAAUUUAUAAUAUCGGUUGUUUUUAUUAUCAUUGUCGUUUUUGGUUGAUUUAUGUUUGUCUGUUGGUUUGUGAUGAAAAAUUCCAAGUUCCAUAAUCAAUCAAUCUAUUUUUGUAUAAACUACGAUUCAAAUAAAUCUAGCUUCUACGUAUAAUUUCCACAUAUAAUAUGCGUGCAUACCAUAAUAAUAAUCUCUAUAUAUGUGUUCAAUUCAUCAAGAAUCUAAAUGAAAAAAAACUACAAAAUUCUGCAAUCAUUUUUAAUCAUCAUUAUCAUCAUCAUAUAUUUAUUAUUCGUAUUUAUUUCACACAUGUUGUCCAUACAAAAAAAAUGUUCAAAAAAAAUCAAUGAGAAAAUGAACCCAAAUUGAUCAACCAAUUUUGUCCAUAUUUGUUUGUCCGUAUAAUCAUUAAAUUGAAAACAUGAAGUGAAACAAAUCAACAACAACAAAACAGCAACAAAAAAACAGCAAAUAAUUGAAUGCCAUAAUUUGAUCAAUAUUGUUGAUGCUUCAACUUUGUUCUCGUUUAUUUAUUGUUUGUCUUGUUUUGUUUUCAUCAACAUCAAUCAUCAUUUCAAUUACUUUUCAUUUUCAUUUUUCUUUCCUUUCACUAACCAAAUUUGUUCCAUAAAUAAUGGACAACAUUUCGAUGGACAAACAAAUGUGAAAGAAAAAAAAAUUCUCAACAUAACGGUUUCGAAUGUUUUCGUUUUUUUUUGUUUGUUUUUUUGUU
Non-coding RNA from Dermatophagoides farinae (American house dust mite), 1345 nucleotides. NCBI's taxonomy places the organism in Eukaryota, Metazoa, Arthropoda, Arachnida, Sarcoptiformes, Pyroglyphidae. The record is from RefSeq and is a predicted model, not a curated record.